This 180-nucleotide ribosomal RNA is filed under the name uncultured Glomeromycotina. RNAcentral's name for it is "partial small subunit ribosomal RNA". The stretch from base 88 to 180 matches the Rfam family "Eukaryotic small subunit ribosomal RNA", at positions 733 to 828 of the family's 1831-position model. The record is from RNAcentral. Lineage: Eukaryota; Fungi; Glomeromycota.
GCCCCUGAUGGCCGGUCCGCCUUCUUGGUGUGUACUUGCUCAUCGGGGGCUUACCUCCUGGUGAACUGUAAUGUCCUUUACUGGGUGUUGCAGGGAACCAGGACUUUUACUUUGAAAAAAUUAGAGUGUUUAAAGCAGGCUUCUGCCUGAAUACAUUAGCAUGGAAUAAUAGAAUAGGAC